GUCUCCAAGCCUGCGAUUCUUUGUUUUUCUCACUUUAAAAGCUGAAGCAUAGGGGGCUGGCGCUGUGGCGUGGCAGGUAAAGCCUCUGCCUGAAGCGCCGGCGUCCCACACGGGCGCUGGUUCAAGUCCCGGCUGCUCCACUUCCUAUUCAGCCCUCUGCUAAUGCACCUGGGAAAGCAGUGGAAGAUGGCCCAAGUCCUUGGGUCCCUGCACCCACGUGGGAGACGUGGAGGAAGCUCCUGGUUCCUAGCUCUGGAUUGGGCCAGCUCCAGCUGUUGUGGCCAUUUGGGGAGGGAACCAGUGAAUGGAAGACCUUUUUCUCUGUCUCUUUCUCUCUCUGUAACUCUGCCUCUCAAAUAAAAAUAAAUCUUUUUUUAAAAAAAGUUGCAGUAUAUAAAAUGUUUGGCAUGGGGUCUGCUACAGAGAAAGCCUUCAAACAUUAGUCAGAAAAACAGUAUAAAUAUUAGUGCAAUAAAAAUUAAAACAGGCCGGCGCCAUGGCUCAAUAGACAUCCUCCGCCUAGUGGCGCCGGCACACCGGGUUCUAGUCCCGGUUGGGGCACUGGAUUCUGUCCUGGUUGUCCCUCUUCCAGGCCAGCUCUCUGCUGUGGCCAGGGAGUACAGUGGAGGAUGGCCCAAGUGCUUGGGCCCUGCACCCCAUGGGAGACCAGGAGAAGCACCUGGCUCCUGCCUUCGGAUCAGCGUAGUGCGCCGGCCGCAGCACGCCAGCCGUGGCGGCCAUUGGAGGGUAAACCAACGGCAAAGGAAGACCUUUCUCUCUGUCUCUCUCUCUCUCUCACUGUCCACUCUGCCUGUCAAAAAAAAAAAAAAUUUAAAACAAUCCUCUAAACCAGAACAAAACCAUGAAAACUUGGCAAAUUCAAAGACAUGUCCAAAGAGAUCGCAGAAUUUUAGAGCUGCAUUAGCCAACAGACCAUCGACCCAGAACUCCCAUCUGGUGGAUGCAGUAGAGGAGGCCCGAAGCCAGGAGGACGGCCAGGAUGCAGGCGACGGACAGGAAGGUCAGCACGAUGAACUUGGUGGAGUCCUCUUGCUCCGCCUGGUGUGGCAGGAGCUUCAGCUGGCUUUUCUGCAGACCAAGGAAAAGAGGGGGCAAGUUAGGCCUUCGCAAACCACGCCCCCCUGAAAAGCCAAGCUCCGCCAAGGCAGAGGGUGGUAGGGUCAGACCAGACAGCACCCCCCCCUCCCAAGGGGAGCAGAAGUGACUUCAAAAUAGCACUCCGCAGGCUGCAAUUCUCUAGGAGGGAGUUGGAGGCAUCAGUCCCCCACGGUGGGUGGCUGUGUUUCAAAGUUAAGGUAUCUGGCAGCUAAUUUGCUGUCUUAAAUCAAGUAUCCGUCCCUUCUUCUAAACCGGUGCACCUGUAUAUCCAGGGCGUGCACGGAACGCAGGCCUGGCUUUAUCCGCUUUCACAGUCACCCGAGCCCCAGGCGUUCUGCCGUCCCGGGAAAUGCUCCCUGGCCAUUCCAGGCGUCCCCCUGGCGUGCGUGGUCCCGCCAACUCCAGCGCAGACCCCAGCACCUGCCGCCGAAGCGCUGUUCCCGGAACGGAACCGCCAGCCCUCCGCUGCCGGGCGGCCCGGGAAGUUCCCCGUCUCGGCCGUGCAGGGUGGGGGAGUAGGAGAAGGUCCCCCCCACCCCCUGGCGCGCUGCGCUCGUCUCCACGUGCAGCGCGCUGCACGGCGCUCCCCUCAUUAGCUUCAUUAGGAGGUGUAUUAGCGACCCUUCAACACGCCACAGCCAAACCGCCCGAGACCCCCGGCCAGCAGACCCCCGCCCCACGCCCCCCACAAUUACUGGGGAAAUGAAUGGGAAAGCACGCCCUGCCUCAGUCCCGGUUUGCUACAAGAGGAGAACAAUUAGCAAACUCUUUUCCACCACCUAAUUUCGCGUGGUAACAAAAUGGAUUUUUCCCCAUGAAAGGCCCGGCCGGCCUAUUCAUUAUCUCUCCUCUAUUACUAAUUUUCUGCUCCGCAUCAGCCUCCCAACUCUUCCAUUUCCUCCUGUCUCCGAGUGUACACAGUGCCUCUGUGUCAGGCCGGGCCCAGUUUUAUCUUGUAAUCAUAAAGGCCACGAAAGCAAUUAUCGCCGGUCUUGACUGCGAAAGCUGGUCAUUAAUUAGCCUCCGG
Molecule: long non-coding RNA, 2146 nt
Filed under: Oryctolagus cuniculus (rabbit)
Lineage: Eukaryota; Metazoa; Chordata; Mammalia; Lagomorpha; Leporidae
Description: lncRNA (ENSOCUG00000035659.1)
Source: RNAcentral